Molecule: long non-coding RNA, 2600 nt
Organism: Hevea brasiliensis (rubber tree)
Lineage: Eukaryota; Viridiplantae; Streptophyta; Magnoliopsida; Malpighiales; Euphorbiaceae
Exons: 7
Source: RefSeq, a predicted model, not a curated record
AAAAUAUUUGUGAAUAUCUCAUGAGUCAUGAGAGGAAAAUAGUUUCCAACUUUAUAGAUUGCUGACACCGGACGUCCGUACAUCCGAUGACAUGUUUGACUUUGGUCGAGAGUUUUUUCACUUUUACUGGGCAAAGUGGUUGAGAGUGAGGUGAAGAAUUUUUUUUCCACGCUUACAGUAUUUUCCUGCAAAAGAGAAGGUACGGAAACGAGCAAUUAUGCUUCAAGAGUUCGAGUUGUUUCGGUAAAUGAUUGAACGUUCUUUCCUGCCUGGUAUCUUCUUCUACCUUUCCAAGUCCCUUUAUGUUUCAAAUGGUCCUUCAAGUGAGGACAAACUUUUGAAUUUCUGAAAUUCUUUAACUCAUCUCUACCGGCGUUUUUGUUUUUUUAAUUUUUAAUUCUGAAUAUCCUUUCACUGCAACACUGUUAUUAGUUGCAACCCAACCUUGUUAAAUUGGCCCGAUUCAAAAUUUGAUGGCAUAUUAAAUUCCAAGUAAUCCACGAUUCAAUCCGAAUUUUAGUAUCAUGUUUAAUUCAGUGUUGUAAGCUUUGCUUAUUGUUACGCAUGGUACUAUCCGAACCAUCAGUUGUUGCCUCAAAUUUAACCAAUUGAUCUUACUAUGUUCCCCUGCUCCAUACCAACUGCUAGGACGCGCCACUUAAUAGUUGAAAAGUAUUGAAAGGGACUUGAGUGAGCUUGCGCCGAGCUUAUUACCUGUAGGGUUUGGUGAUUACGUCUCAGUAAUAGAUUGAUUGCAUAAUGGAUUAAAAUUUUAGAUCUUUACAAUUGUUGAAAUACUUUGCUACAAAUGGUUACGUUUUUUUUUUUUGUUUCUUGGUCUACAUAUUCUGGUUUCUGUUUCACUUGUGGACAGGGUUUCUAUUAGGAGUAUUUAAUUAUUGUUGAAAACUCUGAGUUGAGUUGAGUUGAAAACUCCCCUUUUGCUUCUUCUGGCUCAAGACCUUCUAUCCACUAGUGCAGUACUGGAAGUCCUAGUUUUAAAACUUGAGCAAGAAAUUGUCUCUCUGCAUUUCAAACUUAGUCGAGAGAGAAAUGAGCGGAGGCUUGUUGAAUAUCGUUUGAGGCGUUCAGCUUCUCAGUCCAUAGCUGUUUGCUCAGCAAAUAUGAAAGCAUAGAUUUCAUCUUCUUUGAGGCGUCCAAAGCAUUCCAAUUUUGCACUGCAUCACUCUGACAAGGAUAUCUCAUGUGAAGACCACCUUAUAGAAUCAACCAGUGAAACAGCUUAUAUACAGUCAGUUAUGGAGCAUGCAGUGAAGUCAACUGCACUUUUUCAUGAGAAUAUAUCUGUGAAGAUGGACACUGAACCUACUCAACUUGCAGAGCUCAAGAAGUUUUUAAAAGGAAUGACGCCUAAGGGCCUUUCAGAUUGCCCUAAUCAACUUUCAGAGAAAACGAGCCCCCAAGUUGAUAUACAGAGUAAUUCUGAAGUGUUGGCUUCAGAGAAUGUCUUCGAUCCCUAUAUAGUGCUUGGAAAGUUGAGUUGGCCAGACAUUGGAAACUAUGGUUUGGCAACUGGAGUUUCUUGGAUGUCAGUUGGGAAGAAGCAACUAGAGUAUGCCUCAGGGGCAUUAAGAAGGUUUCUCGUUGAGCAACAGUGAACCCUAUCCACUUGACAUGCAAUGAGAAGCUCUCUUUCUAGAUCAACUCGUCCAAUGCACUGAUAAUGCAUGCAUAGUUGGCAUAUGGAGUUCCAAGAAGUGAUUUGAAGCUCUUCUCAAUUCUCGCUGAUGCAAAAGGCUGCAUACACUGUCAGGGGGCAUUCUUUUAGUGCAGCUGCUGUUGAGUAUGUAAAUUUGAAGAUAAAACCACCUCUCCAUAGGCCGCAAAUCGUAUGACCUGUCUUAGUGAUGCCAAAUUGCCCACGGUUGUUCACUGUUUUGUCUGUUAUUGUAUGUCAUUCUGUGAUUAACACUGGUACUGAAUAAUAUUUUCAGGCUUUGCUUCUUGCCCUUUACAAGCUGAAGGUAUCAGGGGAACAACGAAAGUCUGCAAUAGAUACACAUGAAACACUCAGAGCAUUUGCUCUUAUCUGUGGUACUCAUCCCCUGCAGUAAUAGCACUUCUGUUAUGAUAUGCCAAAGGCUUUUAAAUUGUCUUGGAUAUUCAGAUGUACUGUAGAUGGUAUUCUAGCAGAAGAAAAAUGCAGGUAAGAGUCCACACUGCUAAGGAUGUGAGGGAGGAGCUUCAAGAAGCCAAGUAUGAUUUCAGAAGAGCUUCAGUUGGAGUUAGCAACAAAGGGAAGUUAUUGUUGCCAAAAAUGCUACACUUUGUGCCAAAGUUUUUGAUGAUGACUCAAAUUUGGCUGUUUGGAUAUCUCGUUACCUAUGGGGCGUGUUGAUUAAUGAGCAAGCUUUAGAAUUGUGGCGGGAAAUUCCGUUUGGGAUGGUGAGAAAUUGAUAUGGUUGCUGGAGGUUGUUAGCUCAGCGUGCAUGGGACGGACAUGUGUGUCAGCUGAAGAUUAGUAUUCUUGUAUAUUCUUGAUUGAUCUGUAAUUGCUAAUAAAUAGUAGAGAUCAAUUGUAUUCUGGAUUAUAUUGAAAUCUAUAAAAGUAAUAGUUGAGAGUGUUCUCUCUUUGUGGA